GGAUUGUGGCUCAGUGGUAGAGUGCUUGCCUCACAUGUGUGACGCCCUGGGUUCAAUUCUCAGCACCA
RNAcentral lists this transfer RNA (68 nucleotides) under Marmota monax (woodchuck). RNAcentral's name for it is "tRNA.Val". The stretch from base 5 to 65 matches the Rfam family "tRNA", at positions 6 to 65 of the family's 71-position model. From Rfam's summary of the family: Transfer RNA (tRNA) molecules are approximately 80 nucleotides in length. The record is from RNAcentral. Lineage: Eukaryota; Metazoa; Chordata; Mammalia; Rodentia; Sciuridae.